CAUGAACGUUCUGAGUGAAUGCUGGUUGUUCUAUAACGUACACAAGCCUUUGUGCUUUCUACGGGGUGUCCUGACCAGUUUUAACAUGACACAACUUAGAGUCGUCCAAGAGAAGAGCUUCAAUGGAGGAGUUGCCUAGAUCAGACAGGUUGGUGGGGAAUAUGUUGACUAUUACUUGAUGUAAGAAAGCCCAGCCCAUGGUGGGUGGUACCCUCCUUAGGAAGAUGGUCAGGGUUAGGGUCAGAGUACAUGACAGGUGCCCACAAGCCAACCAGCAGGCAGCACUCCCUACAGCCCCUGAUGCACUUCGUGGAUGGGAAGGGAUUUAAUGCUGUGUGGAAUGGCCCGUAGACCUGCCUUCGAGUUCCUGCCUUGAUGCCUUCAGCGAUGCACUGUGACUUGGAGUUGUAAGUAAACCUGAAUUGCUUAUGGUCGGGCAGUUUUAUCACAGCAACAAAAAUGAAAUGUGAACAGAGGGCGAAACUUGAGAAAUUCAACUGCCCUGAAAAGACCUCACGUGUCCCCUCCGUCUUUGCUUCUGAGACAAUGAAAUUGAAACAGCCUCAGAGACCAUGUAAAAGGAAGAUCAAGCAAGGGGCAAAAACAUUAUCCUGUUAUCCAGACCGAGAUCUUUUUGCAUUGAGAUCUGCCAAGUGCUUCUAGUCAAACUUCAAGCUCUGAAGCUUUCACUUAGGCUACGCCAAAUCGGGAGAAAUAGGAAGGUGGGAGAAAGGACUGCUCUGGACGAAUCAAAACAACACGUAAGCAAAGUCCUUCAGUGGAAGAGAAGGAAACAGGGAGUGGGCUUUUGCAAAUUUACCAGUGACUCUGACCUGUGAGACCUGGUUGUGAUUGGAACUUGGGUGGACUGCGAGGACUCUUAAGAGGUUGCUGAGGAAAGCUCUGCAUAUAUAGCUGUAAAUAAGACCUGUCCUGAUUGGACAGCACCAUCCUCUGAGCUGGAAGUUUGGACAAAAAAAAAAAAAAAAAAAAGGAAAAGGAACAAGCAAGCCCUGAGUGAAGUCAGUGUCCCCUCCCUCUCUCUUCCUACCCAUUCCCACCACCAUGAUGUUCUGUCCAAACACAUGUGGCCCAGUUACCAGGGACUGGACCCCUGAAAGCAUGAGUCAAAAUAAAUUCUCUCUCCUCUAUUUUAAGUUGUUUAUGUCACAGUGAGGAGCCAGAUUAUACACACACUCCCUAACUUGAAAAUUGCUUUCAUAGUCUUGGACCCCACUCCCCCCGCAUCCUCCCCCACCCCCCUGCAGCAAAGCAGUUUCUCUUUUCUCCUCGGCAGGUGCUUAUGAUGCUUAACUCUCACCUCACGAGAAACCUAACCUCUCUGGAGUAAACCAGAAGCACAAGGACUCGCCAGUUAAUUGAAAAACAAGUCUGAGAUGCUUACUUACCCCUGCUAACCUCUCACAUGUACGAAUCAUCCCAUUCUAAAGCCAGCAACUUCAGGGGAUGGCACCGUAUUGACAAUAUCGCUAGACGUAUGGCUUGGCUUUGGAAUAAAAUAUUUAUAAUCCCUCUCUGGGGGAAGUGGGCUUAGCAGAAUGAAUCCACGGGCUCCGGCUCUCCUGAGGUAUUUUUCUCAUUCUCCCUGGCACGGAUAAAAUCUAAACUGUACUUAAGAAACGGUGUUAAAUGUGUUAGUUGACUGAAUCUGGCAUUUAUAAUGCAAUUUAGCAAAGUUUUAUAUUGACAGCAUGACAUUUUUAAAGGGCCCUUUCUGAUUAACAAGGUUCAGAAUCACUCCCCUGAUUAUGCUCAGGGAGGAGUAUAAAAUGCUACAGGCUCUGAGAGCAAUGAAUCGGGGCUCUGUUAGCAUUAGACGCAUUUUGCUUUCGUAGUGACCAUUUCCAGGGAGGAUCGGGGUGCGACUGCAUGUUUUC
Molecule: long non-coding RNA, 1898 nt
Filed under: Rattus norvegicus (Norway rat)
Lineage: Eukaryota; Metazoa; Chordata; Mammalia; Rodentia; Muridae
Description: long non-coding RNA NONRATT032338
Source: RNAcentral